This 253-nucleotide ribosomal RNA is filed under the name uncultured bacterium. RNAcentral describes it as "partial 16S ribosomal RNA". It matches the Rfam family "Bacterial small subunit ribosomal RNA", at positions 524 to 776 of the family's 1533-position model. The record is from RNAcentral.
UACGAAGGGGGCUAGCGUUGCUCGGAAUGACUGGGCGUAAAGAGUGCGCAGGCGGUUUUCUAAGUUUGGUGUGAAAUCUCCCGGCUCAACUGGGAGGGUGCGCCGAAGACUGGAAGGCUAGAGUGUGGGAGAGGUAAGCGGAAUUCCUGGUGUAGCGGUGAAAUGCGUAGAUAUCAGGAGGAACACCUGCGGUGUAGACGGCUUACUGGACCAUAACUGACGCUGAGGCACGAAAGCGUGGGUAGCAAACAGG